UGGGGAAUUUUGGGCAAUGGGCGAAAGCCUGAUCCAGCAAUGCCGCGUGUGUGAAGAAGGCCUUCGGGUUGUAAAGCACUUUUGUCCGGAAAGAAAUCCUUGGCUCUAAUACAGUCGGGGGAUGACGGUACCGGAAGAAUAAGCACCGGCUAACUACGUGCCAGCAGCCGCGGUAAUACGUAGGGUGCAAGCGUUAAUCGGAAUUACUGGGCGUAAAGCGUGCGCAGGCGGUUUGCUAAGACCGAUGUGAAAUCCCCGGGCUCAACCUGGGAACUGCAUUGGUGACUGGCAGGCUAGAGUAUGGCAGAGGGGGGUAGAAUUCCACGUGUAGCAGUGAAAUGCGUAGAGAUGUGGAGGAAUACCGAUGGCGAAGGCAGCCCCCUGGGCCAAUACUGACGCUCAUGCACGAAAGCGUGGGGAGCAAAACAGGAUUAGAUACCCUGGUAGUCCACGCCCUAAACGAUGUCAACUAGUUGUUGGGGAUUCAUUUCCUUAGUAACGUAGCUAACGCGUGAAGUUGACCGCCUGGGGAGUACGGUCGCAAGAUUAAAACUUAAAUGAAUUGACGGGGUCAUAGCUCC
This 581-nucleotide ribosomal RNA is filed under the name uncultured bacterium. Its description in RNAcentral is "partial 16S ribosomal RNA". It matches the Rfam family "Bacterial small subunit ribosomal RNA", at positions 355 to 927 of the family's 1533-position model. The record is from RNAcentral.